ACCCGGGUAAGGAGCUGGCCUGCAGUGGGGCUGGGAGGGCAUGCCUGGGUGAGCUCAGCCUCAAAGGCCUCCUCCUUCCUCUGUAGGCUCUCAGGUCCUCAGAAUCAGGGA
This 111-nucleotide microRNA precursor is filed under the name Mus pahari (shrew mouse). RNAcentral's name for it is "microRNA 1668 (MGP_PahariEiJ_G0007177.1)". Lineage: Eukaryota; Metazoa; Chordata; Mammalia; Rodentia; Muridae. The record is from RNAcentral.